This 1090-nucleotide ribosomal RNA is filed under the name Raniceps raninus (tadpole fish). RNAcentral's name for it is "partial 16S ribosomal RNA". It matches the Rfam family "Bacterial large subunit ribosomal RNA", at positions 792 to 2519 of the family's 2925-position model. Lineage: Eukaryota; Metazoa; Chordata; Actinopteri; Gadiformes; Gadidae. The record is from RNAcentral.
CAAAAGAGUGGGAAGAGCUUUGAGUAGAGGUGAUAAACCUACCGAGCACAGUUAUAGCUGGUUGCCUGAGAAAUGAAUAGAAGUUCAGCCCUUUAAGUCUUCCCCCAUCACCCAUGCUUAAGCUAAAAUUGAUUAAGGAAACUAAGGGAGUUAAUCAAAAGGGGUACAGCCCUUCUGAUAAAAGAAACAACUUUAACAGGUGAUUCAAGAUCAUAUUACCCAAGGAUUUCAAAUUAAGUGGGCCUAAAAGCAGCCAUCUUGAUAGAAAGCGUUAAAGCUCAAAUUAGACACUAUCCUCAUAUACUGAUAUUUUAUCUCCCUCCCUGCCCUUUACCAGGCUGUCUUGUGCCCCCACAAGAAUAAUUAUGCUAGAAUGAGUAAUAAGAAGAACUUAGUUCUUCUCCCAGCACAUGUGUAAGUCGGAACGGACCACCCACCGACCAUUAACCGACCCCAAACCCAGAGGGACAUAAGUAAUUUUAAACAAGAAAAACACUUAACUUAAAUCGUUAACCCCACACAGGAGUGCACAAAGGAAAGACUAAAAGGGAAGGAAGGAACUCGGCAAACACAAGCCUCGCCUGUUUACCAAAAACAUCGCCUCUUGCUCACAAAGUAUAAGAGGUCCCGCCUGCCCUGUGACUUUAAGUUUAACGGCCGCGGUAUUUUAACCGUGCGAAGGUAGCGUAAUCACUUGUCUUUUAAAUGAAGACCUGUAUGAAUGGCAUCACGAGGGCUUAGCUGUCUCCCCUCCCCAGUCAAUGAAAUUGACCUCCCCGUGCAGAGGCGGGGAUAUUUACAUAAGACGAGAAGACCCUGUGGAGCUUUAGACCUAAAGUAAGCCAUGUUUAGUAUCCUGAGAUAUCAGUAAAAACUUAAUGGCAAUUAUUGAAGUGUCUUUGGUUGGGGCGACCGCGGGGUAAAACACAACCCCCAUGUGGACCGGGGAUAUUAUCCCUAAUACUCAGAGCCGCUACUCCAAGUAACAGAAAUUCUGACUUUAUGAUCCGGUAUAACCGAUCAACGAACCGAGUUACCCCAGGGAUAACAGCGCAAUCCCCUCUCAGAGCCCAUAUCGACGAGGGGGUUU